This 1062-nucleotide long non-coding RNA is filed under the name Salmo trutta (river trout). RNAcentral's name for it is "lncRNA (ENSSTUG00000007344.1)". Lineage: Eukaryota; Metazoa; Chordata; Actinopteri; Salmoniformes; Salmonidae. The record is from RNAcentral.
UGUGUUUCGAGUAGUGGUACGUGUGUUUGGUUCUUGUGUUUUUGGAUUGCACCCUGUUGUGGUUUCUUGGGUGUAUAUUCUUUUGACGGUGCAUUUCAUUAUAGCCCGAUAGCAAACACUCCUGUUUCCUGCGCCUGACUCCACACCCACUACAGUAAGCGAUACACCAACACGUUUCUGGUUUACUUCAGAGAGCUUUCAUUUCAUGUCCUUUUUAAGUCUUUAUUUUAAAUCACUCUUGAUCAAUAAUAAUUCACUGUCUCACACAGAUCAAAGUCAUAUAUAAGAGAAACAUGAAAGGCUUCAUAUCAGCAAAGUUAAAUAGCUUAAAGUAAGUUUUGCCCCGGUACUUUUACCUCUAUUCAAAAUCUUUUACAUGUGAUGUUAUUUCAAGCCUUCAUUUCAUGUGCUAGUAAUUUGAAUAUGCAAAUAGUAAAUGUCUCCUUUUAAUUUAGCCGUUUUCUCAACUUUCAGUAUAAUGUACAAUGUAAUGAAUUGAAGGCUGCUAAGCAAUGCUGAAAUACUAACCAUUUAAAUUGUGGCCCACAAUGUCCAAUAUAAUAAAUACAUUUUCAGUAUACGCCCCAGAGACAAGUGUAUCCCUUCGAAAUGAAAAGGACUUGGGGUUGAUGUUAUACAAUGUAUGUAUGGGCUAUUUUUGCUAAUGUACACAUGCAUGGAAUUCAUUUGUGGAUAUGUUUGCUAAUAUUUUUUUCUCAAAUUAAUAGGAGUGGAAGUGUUAUUGCAGAUUUUGCUGUUAUGACAACAAUUGUCGAUAAUGGGGAAAUUGCCAAAGCAAAAGAGGAUAUUGUCUCAACACUUGGAGAAAAAUAUAAAAUAAGGGUUUACCUGCUUGAAUAAUACGAUCUUUGGCAAUGGACAAGUUGAUGAGAAAGUUGUAGUUUACUGCAAACCGGAUGAAGUGGGUGAAAAGACUGCCAUUUGUAAAGAAAAUAGCUUUUUUCAGAUCGGGUGGACAACUGUGUCCUAAAAGAAAUUGGUACCCUGUUUUCUUUAUCUCAGGUAAUAUGUUAACAUAUUAACAAUUUUCACUGGAUAUAA